GACAGAGGUGCCAAGCGUUAGGCGGAAUCACUGGGCUUAAAGCGUGUGUAGGCGGGUGCCUAAGUACCUUGUGAAAUCCCACGGCUCAACCGUGGAACUGCUGGGUAUACUGGGUGCCUUGGGUCAUCUAGGGGCUGCCGGAACAAAUGGUGGAGCGGUGAAAUGCGUAGAUAUCAUUUGGAACGCCAACGGCGAAAGCAGGCAGCUGGGGAUGCACCGACGCUGAGACACGAAAGCCAGGAGAGCGAACGGG
This 253-nucleotide ribosomal RNA is filed under the name uncultured bacterium. Its description in RNAcentral is "partial 16S ribosomal RNA". It matches the Rfam family "Bacterial small subunit ribosomal RNA", at positions 524 to 776 of the family's 1533-position model. The record is from RNAcentral.